UCCUAAACGCAGUAACCAAGGGCAUUGCACCAAGGCCACUGCAUGUGCCCUUUAAGGCAGAGGAAGAGCUCCUUGCUCGGGCCUUGGCACAUGGCCCCAAAACAGUAGAUGUGCCCGCCUCCCUCCCCACGCCCCCCCACAACAAUCAGGAGGAGCUCAGGGGGCAGGAGCACUGUGAGGACCGGGACACACCCGACAGCUUCAUCCCCUCUUCCUCCCCGGAGAGCGUGGUUGGCAUGGAGAUCAGCCGCUAUCCAGACCUGUCACUGGUCAAAAAGGAGCCUCCAUCUCCGUCUCUCUCCCCAGUCAUGCCUAUUUUCCCCCACUCCAGGGGGAAAGGUUCCGCAGCGAAGCUUUGCGAUAUCAAGACCGAGCCGUCAUCCAUUUUCUUUGGCUCUCCAUUCGGGAUACCACACAAUGGCUCCAGCACAGGUCUCGUUUCCAUAGCUAUAACCCUGAAGCCUGCUGCUGCCGAGGUGAGUCUCCAUUAUGUUUCCAACAGGAAGGGUGAAGGGGG
Electrophorus electricus (electric eel) is the source of this 517-nucleotide long non-coding RNA. Lineage: Eukaryota; Metazoa; Chordata; Actinopteri; Gymnotiformes; Gymnotidae. The record is from Ensembl.